GCCCCCGUAGCUCAGUGGACAGAGCAACUGCCUUCUAAGUAGUUGGUCGGGUGUUCGAAUCACCCCGGGGGUACCA
Molecule: transfer RNA, 76 nt
Filed under: Chloroflexota bacterium
Lineage: Bacteria; Bacillati; Chloroflexota
Description: Chloroflexi bacterium tRNA-Arg
Rfam family: tRNA
About the family: Transfer RNA (tRNA) molecules are approximately 80 nucleotides in length. Their secondary structure includes four short double-helical elements and three loops (D, anti-codon, and T loops). Further hydrogen bonds mediate the characteristic L-shaped molecular structure. tRNAs have two regions of fundamental functional importance: the anti-codon, which is responsible for specific mRNA codon recognition, and the 3' end, to which the tRNAs corresponding amino acid is attached (by aminoacyl-tRNA synthetases). tRNAs cope with the degeneracy of the genetic code in two manners: having more than one tRNA (with a specific anti-codon) for a particular amino acid; and 'wobble' base-pairing, i.e. permitting non-standard base-pairing at the 3rd anti-codon position.
Source: RNAcentral